GAAUUGCAGAACUCCGUGAACCAAUGGCCUCUUGAACGUGCAUUGCGCUCUU
This 52-nucleotide ribosomal RNA is filed under the name Symbiodinium sp. type A3. Its description in RNAcentral is "partial 5.8S ribosomal RNA". Lineage: Eukaryota; Dinophyceae; Suessiales; Symbiodiniaceae. The record is from RNAcentral.